Molecule: long non-coding RNA, 590 nt
Filed under: Homo sapiens (human)
Lineage: Eukaryota; Metazoa; Chordata; Mammalia; Primates; Hominidae
Description: PRR15 divergent transcript
Source: RNAcentral
GCGUUCGCUCCUGCCUUCUUGGCUCUCGGGGCACAGCGCGCGGCCCGGUCCGGAGCAGGGCGGACAUGAGCGCCAAGCAGAGCGGCCUGGCCGCCGCUCACGGCGCACGCGCGCGUACUCGGCUCGGAUCUACCUUCCAGUAGCAGCGGAGUGGCCAAUGGGACCGGGACCAGAGCCGGGGGCCGGAGGCCGCCGCCGCGGGGAGGUUCCCGGCCCAGGUGCCCAGCGCUCACCAGCCCGGCGGCGCCGCGGCGGCCCCGCAGCUGUUUCCUCGGGGGGGCGUGGCGUCGGGGGCCUUCGCGGCGCAGUCCUCUUUCAGCAUCCCGAACAGCAGCAGCGGCCCGUAGGACUCGCAGGACUCGGUGCACAGCAGCCCUGAGGAUGGCGGCGGCGGCCGGCACCGGCCGGUGGGCUGGAGCCCCGGCGGGCCGCUCCUGGUGAUCGGCUCCUUACCAGCUCACCUCUCACCGCGCAUGUUUGGAGAUGAAGAUCACGCAGAAAAUCAGCAGAGCUAGGCAAUAAGUCAAUCUAAAGUCUACAUGCCCCUCCCUCUUCCCAUGGAUUCACGCCAAGUGACACGGAAAGCCACC